Molecule: ribosomal RNA, 512 nt
Filed under: Salmonella enterica
Lineage: Bacteria; Pseudomonadati; Pseudomonadota; Gammaproteobacteria; Enterobacterales; Enterobacteriaceae
Also listed under: 1 other name
Description: partial 23S ribosomal RNA
Rfam family: Bacterial large subunit ribosomal RNA
Source: RNAcentral
GAUUCGUCACACUAUCAUUAACUGAAUCCAUAGGUUAAUGAGGCGAACCGGGGGAACUGAAACAUCUAAGUACCCCGAGGAAAAGAAAUCAACCGAGAUUCCCCCAGUAGCGGCGAGCGAACGGGGAGGAGCCCAGAGCCUGAAUCAGCAUGUGUGUUAGUGGAAGCGUCUGGAAAGGCGCGCGAUACAGGGUGACAGCCCCGUACACAAAAGCGCAUGUGCUGUGAGCUCGAUGAGUAGGGCGGGACACGUGGUAUCCUGUCUGAAUAUGGGGGGACCAUCCUCCAAGGCUAAAUACUCCUGACUGACCGAUAGUGAACCAGUACCGUGAGGGAAAGGCGAAAAGAACCCCGGCGAGGGGAGUGAAAAAGAACCUGAAACCGUGUACGUACAAGCAGUGGGAGCCCCACCACCAAAGCAUUCUCUGGUGUUGAAGGCCCUGCAAAGCAGCAUCGCGGUGGCGGAGCGUCGUUUGCGACGCCCAACACACAAAACAAGCGGUGAAUGCUUUG